RNAcentral lists this long non-coding RNA (461 nucleotides) under Zonotrichia albicollis (white-throated sparrow). RNAcentral's name for it is "lncRNA (ENSZALG00000017266.1)". The record is from RNAcentral. Lineage: Eukaryota; Metazoa; Chordata; Aves; Passeriformes; Passerellidae.
AGCUUGCAGGGAUGUGUGCGUUGGCUGGAGGGGAUGUCUGGAGGAGCUGGGAAGUAACCAGAUGACUGACAGCGAUUCAGGCUCGAUGCCUUAUGGAGGGGACAGGCGAACAGACCUGCUCCUUCCUUUGUGUUGCCAGUCAGGUCCUCCCUCUGCAGUCUUACACAGGAAGAAGAUUUAUAACAGCUGCAUGCAAUGCCAGUGUCUCAAAGAAACAGUAUCACGCCAUGUGGAGGAUUUUUGUUUGGGGUUUGUUUUCUCCACUGAAUUGGAAAGGCUCUUGGUGGCCUGCUUCUUACCUCCCUGACUAGUGGCAUGUAUUAAAUCAAUGUGUAUAAAGUCACCACUGGAACCCAGUGACAGACCUUGAUUAACUGUGCUUAAUCUAUUCCCACAGAAAAAUGGACCAAAGAAAGUGUUCUAAAACAAGAUAAUAAAAUGUUAUCAUUUCUCCUCUCUCA